AGGAUGGGGGUUGCACAAAGCCUGCUUGUAUUACUGCUGAUCACUGCCUUGUGCAGUUCCCAGCUGGUUGUAGACUACAGCAUCGCACCCUACACUGGAGACCUAUCCCGCUUUGCCACAUUAGUGUGGCUGCGACCUGCACACUGCCUGUUUGACAUGUGGGUGGCCCAGACACCCAACAUUGUGGACCGACCCCGCUCCACAAUGUCCAUAGUGGUUGAUGUUUUGAGAGAAGCAGACAACAGCACGUUUAUAUUGCCCCAGAAAUACCCCGUGCCUCUCUGUAAAGACUUCCCCUCGGCACCACUGGAGCCUGCCUACCGAAUGGGCCCCAGAAUGGCUUGCAGGAAUGGCUCCUGCAUUGAGAAUGUGUUGCCAGGACAGGC
Amblyraja radiata (thorny skate) is the source of this 386-nucleotide long non-coding RNA. RefSeq lists it as uncharacterized. NCBI's taxonomy places the organism in Eukaryota, Metazoa, Chordata, Chondrichthyes, Rajiformes, Rajidae. The transcript has 3 exons. The record is from RefSeq and is a predicted model, not a curated record.